This 433-nucleotide ribosomal RNA is filed under the name uncultured bacterium. Its description in RNAcentral is "partial 16S ribosomal RNA". It matches the Rfam family "Bacterial small subunit ribosomal RNA", at positions 29 to 507 of the family's 1533-position model. The record is from RNAcentral.
AACGAACGCUGGCGGCAUGCCUAACACAUGCAAGUCGAACGAGACCUUCGGGUCUAGUGGCGCACGGGUGCGUAACGCGUGGGAACCUGCCCUUAGGUUCGGAAUAACUCCCCGAAAGGGGUGCUAAUACCGGAUAAUGUCUUCGGACCAAAGAUUUAUCGCCUUUGGAUGGGCCCGCGUUGGAUUAGCUAGUUGGUAGGGUAAAAGCCUACCAAGGCGACGAUCCAUAGCUGGUCUGAGAGGAUGAUCAGCCACACUGGGACUGGGACACGGCCCAGACUCCUACGGGAGGCAGCAGUGGGGAAUAGUGGACAAUGGGCGAAAGCCUGAUCCAGCAAUGCCGCGUGAGUGAUGAAGGCCUUAGGGUUGUAAAGCUCUUGUACCCGGGAUGAUAAUGACAGUACCGGGAGAAUAAGCUCCGGCUAACUCCGUG